This 450-nucleotide ribosomal RNA is filed under the name uncultured bacterium. Its description in RNAcentral is "bacterial SSU rRNA". It matches the Rfam family "Bacterial small subunit ribosomal RNA", at positions 29 to 523 of the family's 1533-position model. The record is from RNAcentral.
AACGAACGCUGGCGGCAUGCCUAACACAUGCAAGUCGAACGAGACCUUCGGGUCUAGUGGCGCACGGGUGCGUAACGCGUGGGAACCUGCCUUUAGGUUCGGAAUAACUCAGAGAAAUUUGAGCUAAUACCGGAUAAUGUCUUCGGACCAAAGAUUUAUCGCCUUUAGAUGGGCCCGCGUUGGAUUAGCUAGUUGGUGGGUAAAGGCCUACCAAGGCGACGAUCCAUAGCUGGUCUGAGAGGAUGAUCAGCCACACUGGGACUGAGACACGGCCCAGACUCCUACGGGAGGCAGCAGUGGGAAUAUUGGACAAUGGGCGAAAGCCUGAUCCAGCAAUGCCGCGUGAGUGAUGAAGGCCUUAGGGGUUGUAAAGGCUCUUUUACCCGAGAUGAUAAUGACAGUAUCGGGAGAAUAAAGCUCCGGCUAACUUCGUGCCAGCAGCCGCGGUAA